This 326-nucleotide ribosomal RNA is filed under the name uncultured eukaryote. Its description in RNAcentral is "partial 18S ribosomal RNA". It matches the Rfam family "Eukaryotic small subunit ribosomal RNA", at positions 1470 to 1796 of the family's 1831-position model. The record is from RNAcentral.
CCCUUAGAUGUUCUGGGCUGCACGCGCGCUACACUGAUGCGUUCAACGAGUGUACAACCUUGCCCGUUAGGGUUGGGUAAUCUUUUGAACACGCAUCGUGAUGGGGCUUGAUUAUUGCAAUUAUUAAUCAUAAACGAGGAAUUCCUAGUAAACGCAAGUCAUCAGCUUGCAUUGAUUACGUCCCUGCCCUUUGUACACACCGCCCGUCGCACCUACCGAUUGAACGGUCCGGUGAAAUCUUGGGAUUUGCAUGUUGUUGAUUGAUUUCAUGGCGUGCGAAGAACUUGAGUAAACCUUACCGUUUAGAGGAAGGUGAAGUCGUAACA